GGGAGUUUGGUCUAGUGGUAUGAUUCUCGCUUAGGGACCUUCCUAGCAUGCGAGAGGUCGUGGGUUCAAUUCCCGCAACUCCCC
RNAcentral lists this transfer RNA (84 nucleotides) under Chlamydomonas reinhardtii. It matches the Rfam family "tRNA". From Rfam's summary of the family: Transfer RNA (tRNA) molecules are approximately 80 nucleotides in length. Their secondary structure includes four short double-helical elements and three loops (D, anti-codon, and T loops). Lineage: Eukaryota; Viridiplantae; Chlorophyta; Chlorophyceae; Chlamydomonadales; Chlamydomonadaceae. The record is from Rfam by way of RNAcentral.